Molecule: ribosomal RNA, 469 nt
Filed under: uncultured bacterium
Lineage: Bacteria
Description: partial 16S ribosomal RNA
Rfam family: Bacterial small subunit ribosomal RNA
Source: RNAcentral
GAUGAACGCUGGCGGCGUGCUUAACACAUGCAAGUCGAACGGUGAACACGGAGCUUGCUCUGUGGGAUCAGUGGCGAACGGGUGAGUAACACGUGAGCAACCUGCCCCUGACUCUGGGAUAAGCGCUGGAAACGGCGUCUAAUACUGGAUAUGUGACGUGACCGCAUGGUCUGCGUUUGGAAAGAUUUUUCGGUUGGGGAUGGGCUCGCGGCCUAUCAGCUUGUUGGUGAGGUAAUGGCUCACCAAGGCGUCGACGGGUAGCCGGCAUGAGAGGGUGACCGGCCACACUGGGAUUGAGACACGGCCCAGACUCCUACGGGAGGCAGCAGUGGGGAAUAUUGCACAAUGGGCGAAAGCCUGAUGCAGCAACGCCGCGUGAGGGAUGACGGCCUUCGGGUUGUAAACCUUUUUUAGCAGGGAAGAAGCGAAAGUGACGGUACCUGCAGAAAAAGCGCCGGCUAACUACGUG